CGGUAAUACGUAGGCAGCGAGCGUUGUUCGGAGUUACUGGGCGUAAAGCGUGCGUAGGCGGUGCCCUAAGUCUGGUGUGAAAUCUCCCGGCUCAACUGGGAGGGUGCGCUAGAAACUGGGAUGCUAGAGUGUGGGAGAGGUAAGCGGAAUUCCUGGUGUAGCGGUGAAAUGCGUAGAUAUCAGGAGGAACACCUGCGGUGUAGACGGCUUACUGGACCAUGACUGACGCUGAGGCACGAAAGCGUGGGGAGCAAACAGGAUUAGAUACCCUGGUAGUCCACGCCCUAAACGAUGCAUACUUGGUGUGGGCAGUUCAGUCUGUCCGUGCCGUAGCUAACGCGUUAAGUAUGCCGCCUGGGGAGUACGGUCGCAAGGCUGAA
This 380-nucleotide ribosomal RNA is filed under the name uncultured bacterium. RNAcentral describes it as "bacterial SSU rRNA". It matches the Rfam family "Bacterial small subunit ribosomal RNA", at positions 518 to 898 of the family's 1533-position model. The record is from RNAcentral.